AGAUAAAGAAAAUACGAGGUGUAAAGAAGGGAGAGAAUCAGGAGAUAGGACAGAGCGACAGGAGGAGCGUGCCGUUGAGCUUUGUUGCUAUAGACACACGAGGACGAUUACUAGAAGAUUAUCUGACAGUAUUUCCGGGUCAAGGAGCAGUACAGCACUGGUGUACACACGUUUCUACGUGAGUCUUCAAAUGUUUGAAUCUGCAGACGGCUUUUCAUGACGAAGUGGUUUUCGUGUCCGAGAAGACAGGAAGAUGCAACACCGUGGCAAAGGCUCAACGUCUGGCCCUACAGAGGGAGAUAGACAAGGAGUCCCAGUCCACGGUUUCAGUCAGAUCACUGAUGGUCCAAGCCGACACAGGCAACAGGAUGGUUACCAUGAAGAAGACGAACAAGAAGAGUGGGAAGGACACCCACGCUGAGGAAGAGAUCUCAGAAAACACUUCCAUAAACCAGGGGAAUAACGAAGGAGUGAAGAAGAAAAAGAAGACGAAAGGAGAGACUCUGGUAGAAGAAGAGCAGGUGUCAUCCAAUGGGGAAGGGGGGAAUACGGAAGGAGAGCAGGAGAAAAAGAAAGGGAAGAAGAAGAAGUUGUCGUCUGGGACCAACGCUGAGGAAGCCAUGACUAAUGGAAAUGACGGAGGGUGCGGCCAGAAGAAGAAAAAGCAGAAAGGUGUUAACACUGUCAAAACGGAGGUAGAGACAGAACAGAGUGAAUUAAAGGACGAGAAAGGAGUAGUGGAAAAUGGGCCAAAGCAGAAAAAAAAGAAGCUCUCUCAGGCAGAAGAGACAGAGAUCAGCGUUGUCAAGGUAGAGGAAGGAGAGAUGAUAGAAAUAAAGAAAGGCAAGAAAAAGAAGGGAAAAACAGAGGAAGAAAAGAAAGUGAAAAAGAUCCCUAAAGCUGCUGAACCAACUGAGGAGAGUCAGGAGGGGGAGACGAAGAAGAAGGGUAAGAAGAGAGCAGUCGCUGAGAAAGGAGAGGCAGAGAAAGAAAUGGUAGUAAAGAAGAAGAAAGGAGAGACGAAAGAGAGAGAGAGCGGAGAGGCAGUGAAAGAAAUGGUAGUAAAGAAGAAGAAAGGAGAGACGAAAGAGAGAGAGAGCGGAGAGGCAGAGAAAGAAAUGGUAGUAAAGAAGAAGAAAGGAGCUGAGGCCACAGUAGCAGUACAGGAGGAGGAACAGAAUAACACCAAAAAGAAGAAACCCAAAUUCUCCAGCAGCGCUGCAGACACCACCAUGGAGACGGAAGGAAAGGAGGGCAAGAUGAAGAAAGAGAAGAGAAAGGCCUCUGCACUAACAGAGAAGGAGGAUGUGAUGGUGGUGGACAAGCAAAAGCACAAACAUAUGAAAAGGGUGGAUACGAAAGGAGUAGUGGAACAGUCGGAGGACGGAGAGAGCGAGGGAAGGAAAAAGAAGGUGAAGAAGAGCUCCUCUGAGGUAGAGACAGAAAUGGAGGACAGCACCCCUCACAAGAAAGGGAAGAAGAUUAUGACGAAGGGGAAAAAGAAGAUAAAGGUGGAGAGCUGCACCCCUGAAGACCAGGAG
Molecule: long non-coding RNA, 1541 nt
Filed under: Salmo salar (Atlantic salmon)
Lineage: Eukaryota; Metazoa; Chordata; Actinopteri; Salmoniformes; Salmonidae
Description: lncRNA (ENSSSAG00000118070.1)
Source: RNAcentral